This 448-nucleotide ribosomal RNA is filed under the name uncultured Gammaproteobacteria bacterium. Its description in RNAcentral is "bacterial SSU rRNA". It matches the Rfam family "Bacterial small subunit ribosomal RNA", at positions 80 to 524 of the family's 1533-position model. The record is from RNAcentral. Lineage: Bacteria; Pseudomonadati; Pseudomonadota; Gammaproteobacteria.
CAAUCCUGGCGACGAGCGGCGAACGGGUGAGUAAUGCUUGGGAAUCUGCCGAUUAGUGGGGAACAACCAGCCGAAAGGUUGGCUAAUACCGCAUACGCCCUACGGGGGAAAGCGGGGGAUCGUAAGACCUCGCGCUAAUGGAUGAGCCCAAGUCGGAUUAGCUUGUUGGUAGGGUAACGGCCUACCAAGGCGACAAUCCGUAGCUGGUCUGAGAGGACGACCAGCCACACUGGGACUGAGACACGGCCCAGACUCCUACGGGAGGCAGCAGUGGGGAAUAUUGGACAAUGGGGGAAACCCUGAUCCAGCGACGCCGCGUGUGUGAAGAAGGCCUGCGGGUUGUAAAGCACUUUUAGUGGGGAUGAAAAGCCUAGGGAUAACACCUCUGGGUCUUGACCUAACCCACAGAAAAAGCACCGGCUAACUCUGUGCCAGCAGCCGCGGUAAU